UGGGGAAUUUUGCACAAUGGGGGAAACCCUGAUGCAGCGACGCCGCGUGAUUUAGAAGGCCUUCGGGUUGUAAAAAUCUUUUCUAUGGGAAGAAAAUGACAGUACCAUAGGAAUAAGGACCGGCUAAUUACGUGCCAGCAGCCGCGGUAAUACGUAAGGUCCGAGCGUUGUCCGGAAUCAUUGGGCGUAAAGGGUACGUAGGCGGGUAAGCAAGUUAGAAGUGAAAUCCUAUAGCUCAACUAUAGUAAGCUUUUAAAACUGCUCAUCUUGAGGUAGGGAAGGGAAAGUGGAAUUCCUAGUGUAGCGGUGAAAUGCGCAGCUAUUAGGAGGAAUACCGGUGGCGAAGGCGACUUUCGGGCCAUAACCUGACGCUGAGGUAGAAAAGCGUGGGUAGCAAACGGG
This 402-nucleotide ribosomal RNA is filed under the name bacterium. Its description in RNAcentral is "partial 16S ribosomal RNA". It matches the Rfam family "Bacterial small subunit ribosomal RNA", at positions 355 to 776 of the family's 1533-position model. The record is from RNAcentral.